This is a long non-coding RNA of Xyrauchen texanus (razorback sucker), 444 nucleotides long. RefSeq lists it as uncharacterized. Lineage: Eukaryota; Metazoa; Chordata; Actinopteri; Cypriniformes; Catostomidae. The transcript has 3 exons. The record is from RefSeq and is a predicted model, not a curated record.
CUCAGUCCUGGCCAGGAUGCGUGAACUGUUUAAGGAUUUUUAAAAAUGUUUUCAUAAAUAAUGCUGAGGCGGAUUUCAUUCACAGAUCCUGGGCUUUCGUGGACAUAUCCAUUUCCUCCUCAUCACCAAUUGGAACGGAUGAUGGUAAAUAUUCUCCAACUUCGUUGCUGGUGGGCAUAGUUUCUUGUACUUCAGAAUCAGUGGGUUCAUUUGUUUCUGUUAACUCUCCCGGACUUUCAUCAAGUGAGCAAAUUCCUUGUGAGUUAACUGGACUUCUCACAGCCAGCUUUUUUGCUUGGUGAUCUCAUAGGCAUAGGCUUAGAAAUCUUUUCUGGAUCAGGAACACUUUCCUCAGAAGUAGUAAGGAAACCACAAGGUAAUAGUAGAUCUCUGUGCAACACUCGCAUAGGAGCAUUCUUAUACUUGGAACGAACUUUAUAAACC